Molecule: ribosomal RNA, 255 nt
Filed under: Acinetobacter johnsonii
Lineage: Bacteria; Pseudomonadati; Pseudomonadota; Gammaproteobacteria; Moraxellales; Moraxellaceae
Description: partial 16S ribosomal RNA
Rfam family: Bacterial small subunit ribosomal RNA
Source: RNAcentral
CCCAGACUCCUACGGGAGGCAGCAGUGGGGAAUAUUGGACAAUGGGCGAAAGCCUGAUCCAGCCAUGCCGCGUGUGUGAAGAAGGCCUUUUGGUUGUAAAGCACUUUAAGCGAGGAGGAGGCUACUUGGAUUAAUACUCUAGGAUAGUGGACGUUACUCGCAGAAUAAGCACCGGCUAACUCUGUGCCAGCAGCCGCGGUAAUACAGAGGGUGCGAGCGUUAAUCGGAUUUACUGGGCGUAAAGCGUGCGUAGGC